CAGCCCCUGAGGGCAGCGCCCGCGGUACCCGGGCGCGGGAUUAACGUCUCGCUGCGCGGCUCUGACAGCGCGGGGACGGAAUAGCCCCUCACCGCCCGUCGGCAGUGAGGAAGAGGAAGAAAUAACUUCGCCCUGCUGCCACCGAGACGCAAAGGGGAGGGACGAGGGGAGUCUGACGCGGCCGCGGCGCCGUGAGGAAGGGACGCACAGCACAUAGGGAAGCCCCAGCAGGCGGCAGGAAAUCCUCGCCUUGGUGGUCCUGAAGGAGUUGAAGCAGCCCCCGCUUGAGGAAAACCCACACGGAGCAGCUACAGAGACACAGGCGAAAGCCCACGCGCUCCAGGAAGGAAAUACAAGAUACUUUUUUUCUUACCAGUUUGGGCCCUUGGAGCAGCGAGGGGCAUCGGCUGCCCCAGCCAAGCUCCUGGAUCCGCUUUGCUUCGUAGCCCGGAAGCAGCAGGACCUGUAACGGAGACGGAUUUUUAGAAACAGUCCUGGGCAGGGGAGAUUUCAGCCGUUACGUUAACAGCCGAACUAACGACCUAACGCUAUUCAAGAAGCAUGUCUUAAUAAACUCAAAGCCAUUAAAAAAAUUUUUUUUGAAUCAGAGAAUCAAACUCAGCCUCUUGCUCCUCUCCAUCAGCUCUCUUGGAUCACCUCUGGUUUCCCUAUGCUGCAGAAAUGAGGGAACAAGAGUAAAUCCCUGGAAGUCGAGUUUUACCCUGGCAGGGAGACCGGUUUUAAUACGGUUUUAAUACCCUCAGGAGACCUUCGGGGAGAGCCACGUUGCUGCGUAGAUCAAAAUCUGCCUAGAAGUCAUCAAGAAACUGAGAAUUUAACCCUCUUCCCAGCAACCUACCAGCCACUCUGCCUGCAGAAAAAAAUAUUACUGGGUUAAUGCAUUUAUUCCACUUGCAGUGUCUUGGGGGCAGAAGCUCUUGAUUUUGCAGACUGCAGCCACUGCCUGUAUUAGAGGCCGUGGCACUAGGACCAAGGCGAGAGCCUCUCUUGGGAAAGGGGAACAUUUGCACUUUCUGCAAGAUUAACACAUCAGAGCUUGCAUGUCUGCAACGGCUUCGUUUUCCCAUUUAGUGCCACUAUAUCCCUGCCAACUUUGGACUGAAAGUCAUUUCCAUACCUCCUUACUCUAUUACAGUUAAUAGAAUAUAAAGUUCCUUUCGCAGAGUUUCCACCCUUCGCUUCAGUAAUCGCUUCGUGUUCUGCUGGAUUCGCUGUACCUCGGCACGCAGCCGUGCUCACGCAAAGCACGUCGUCCCCCGUCGCCCUGCCCCGCGCCUUGCCAAAACCUUUUCUCGGCAACGGUGGCGUCUGGCAGGGCCGUCGUCCGCGGGGAAGGAGUCACUCCGCGCGGCGCUUCCACGUCUGCGCGGUUCGAGGCCGCCGGAAAAACGGGGCUGUCCGUGCUGGUGCCCUGGCACCGCCAGGCUUCUCUCCGCUGGACUGGAGUAUCCACUGCUAAGGAGACUCUGCUUACCGAAACAAGCUCGGUUCAACUUGGCAAUUACCAGAUAAAACAGUCGCUAGUGAAUUCAGUACCUCAGUACCAGCGGGAAGAAACUCUAGUUAAAAAGCCGGAAUCUUGGCAUUCAGCAAACACACUUUCCGUGAAGAAGAGAAGAAACGCAGCAGAGAAGGUGCAUUUUAAUCAGAUACGGUUUUAAUAAAAUGUACAUGUUUACAACUUGAA
Rhea pennata is the source of this 1708-nucleotide long non-coding RNA. RefSeq lists it as uncharacterized. The record is from RefSeq and is a predicted model, not a curated record. The transcript has 3 exons. Lineage: Eukaryota; Metazoa; Chordata; Aves; Rheiformes; Rheidae.